CAGGUGGGCACUCCUGAGGCUGCAGAGCGGAGGAGACCACCAACACUGCCCACCCCUGCCCACAUCCCUCGCCCAAGAGGCAACUGUAUAAGGCCUCUGGGUUCCCGUAGGGGAGGGCCCAGGAGCGGCAGGAUCCCUGCGCCUGAGACACUGCUGGAACCUGAAGGAAACAGACCAGAUAAACAGUUCUCUGCACCCAAAUCCCGUGGGAGGGAGAGCUAAACCUUCAGAGAGGCAGACACGCCUGGGAAACCAGAAGAGACUGCACUCUGUGCACAUCCAGACACCAGAGGAAAACACCAAACGCCAUCUGGAACCCUGGUGCACUGAAGCUCCUGGAAAGAGCGGCGCAGAUCUUCCCGGUUGCUGCCGCCGCGGAGAGGACUUAGGCAGUACCCCACGAGCAAACUUGAGCCUUGGAACCACAGGUAGGACCAACUUUUCCCCUGCAAGAAACCUGCCUGGUGAACUCAAGACACAGGCCCACAGGAACAGCUCCACCCCUGUAGAGAGGAAAAACUACACACCCGAAAGCAGAACACUCUGUCCCCAUAACUGGCUGAAAGAAAACAGGAAAA
This 578-nucleotide long non-coding RNA is filed under the name Rattus norvegicus (Norway rat). RNAcentral's name for it is "long non-coding RNA NONRATT031121". The record is from RNAcentral. Lineage: Eukaryota; Metazoa; Chordata; Mammalia; Rodentia; Muridae.